Molecule: long non-coding RNA, 715 nt
Organism: Hylaeus volcanicus
Lineage: Eukaryota; Metazoa; Arthropoda; Insecta; Hymenoptera; Colletidae
Exons: 2
Source: RefSeq, a predicted model, not a curated record
AUUUAUUACAAUUUGUUAUUUAUCAAACCGAUUAUUGAUUACGAAAAUAGAUUAUAUUUUGUUAUUGUCUGUUACAACUGUUACAAAGAUAAGUGAAUGUAAACAGUCAUCAGCAACCAAAAUUCGUUUGUUUACAAUCACGACAACGUUUUGUUCAAGUCUGUGUUACAUUUUUCGAUUUUUCUUCCUUCCUGUUUUUUUAACCAACGUUUAAAGUAAAUAAAAGUAUUUGAAUUGUAUGUUAUAUUAGGUGUACCGAAAAGUAAUGUCAUUUCUUUUACAUUAAAUUCAGACAAAUACAUUCUUAGUAAAUUUCUAUUUUUAAUCGAUUAUGUAAUUAUCCUCAUUAUCAACAACCUUUUGGCAUUUAGUGUGCAAAUAUUCAAUGCCAGAUGGAUAAAAAUCAAUGAGUUGAUGAAUCAUAAAGAAGUAUUGAGAUUCAUAGAAACGACAUCACUUUUCGGUUCAUCUAAUAUAUACCAUUUUGCAGCUCAUAAAUGACUCUCAUAUUGUAUAUUAAAUACUACUGAGCGAUUGUGUAUUUCUGAUUUUAUCCACCUAGGAAACGAACAAAUUAAAAUUCGUGCUCUUCUACAUAUUAUUGGAAAAAUUGGACAAAAUCACAUUAAAAAUAUUAUGAAAUAAGAAUAAUACGUAUCAUAUAUUAUAAAAUUCCCAAAAAGUGGAAAUGCAGAAAGUCAGAAGAAAAAAUGUG